RNAcentral lists this ribosomal RNA (468 nucleotides) under uncultured bacterium. Its description in RNAcentral is "partial 16S ribosomal RNA". It matches the Rfam family "Bacterial small subunit ribosomal RNA", at positions 28 to 507 of the family's 1533-position model. The record is from RNAcentral.
GAUGAACGCUGGCGGCGUGCUUAAUACAUGCAAGUCGAACGGAAAGGCGCUGAUUUUGUGGGGCGCACGUUUGGCGAACGGGUGAGUAUCACGUGAGUAACACGCCCUUGUCUUUGGGAUAACUUCUGGGAACUGGGGAUAUUAUCGGAUAGGAGCUAUUGCUGCAUGGGGUGGGUUGGUAAGUUUCGGUGGUUGGGGAUGGACUCGAGGGUUACGAGCUUGUUAGUGGGGUAGUGGCUUACCAAGGCUUUGAAGGGUAGCCGACCUGGGAGGGUGACCGGCGACAAGAGGACUGAGAUACGGCGCAGAAUCCUACGUGAGGCAGCAGUGGAGAGUAUGGCGCAGUAGGCCGAAGCCUGUUACAGCAACGCCGCGAGCGUGAUGACGGCCUUCUGGUUAUAAACCACUGUCGCCUUUAACAAACCGUUAGUGACGGUAAUGGAUAAAAAAGCAACGGCUAACUACGUG